GACCUAUUGGCGUACUCGGCAGCGCGCCCACAAUAAUUGCGUGUUACCUUGACUUCUAUGUGGGAGGCCCCAGUUCGACUCUGGGAUGGGUCA
Non-coding RNA from Mycena rebaudengoi, 93 nucleotides. The record is from the annotation of a GenBank genome assembly. Lineage: Eukaryota; Fungi; Basidiomycota; Agaricomycetes; Agaricales; Mycenaceae.